Molecule: long non-coding RNA, 376 nt
Organism: Alligator sinensis (Chinese alligator)
Lineage: Eukaryota; Metazoa; Chordata; Crocodylia; Alligatoridae
Exons: 3
Source: RefSeq, a predicted model, not a curated record
UCCCUGAGGAAGAUGAUGAGAGUGGUACUGACAAAGAGGAUGAGCGCCCACAAGUGGUAGUGCUGAAAAAAGGUGACCUGACUGAAGAAGAGGCACUGAAAAUUAAAGAGCAGAUCAAAGAUGCUUCUAAGUUAGGUUAUAGCCUAUGAAGCCUCUUGCAGUCCUGUGUUCCGAAAGCUCUGGUUGGCGUGAGUAGGAUAACUACAGCAACCAUGAGAGAAGGGAUUUCUCAGGCUAUUAGAUGAAGAACCAGAACCUUCUGAUGGAAAAAUUGUGUUCAGGAAGCCAUCAAAGCGUUCAUCAGAAGAAAAGUUUUUGGGCCUGACUGCAAGUUCAAGUAAGAAGAUAAAAGAGUCAAGGAAAAAUAGGAGUGAAC